GGCUCACCUAGGCGACGAUCCCUAGCUGGUCUGAGAGGAUGACCAGCCACACUGGAACUGAGACACGGUCCAGACUCCUACGGGAGGCAGCAGUGGGGAAUAUUGCACAAUGGGCGCAAGCCUGAUGCAGCCAUGCCGCGUGUGUGAAGAAGGCCUUCGGGUUGUAAAGCACUUUCAGCGGGGAGGAAGGCGAUAAGGUUAAUAACCUUGUCGAUUGACGUUACCCGCAGAAGAAGCACCGGCUAACUCCGUGCCAGCAGCCGCGGUAAUACGGAGGGUGCAAGCGUUAAUCGGAAUUACUGGGCGUAAAGCGCACGCAGGCGGUCUGUCAAGUCGGAUGUGAAAUCCCCGGGCUCAACCUGGG
Molecule: ribosomal RNA, 364 nt
Filed under: Klebsiella pneumoniae
Lineage: Bacteria; Pseudomonadati; Pseudomonadota; Gammaproteobacteria; Enterobacterales; Enterobacteriaceae
Description: bacterial SSU rRNA
Rfam family: Bacterial small subunit ribosomal RNA
Source: RNAcentral